CCGGCGUCAAGCUCUCUCCUUUCUUCUCUUUUUCACCGUCGGUUGAACACUUACGGAACCACUCCCUCUCUUUUCUCCGCCGGCCGAUCCCUCUCUUUCCCUCUCUACGGCUUCCUCUUCUCAGAUCUCACCCCCCUUUUCUUUUUUGUUUUUUUUUGGUUCCUUGUGGCUAGGCUUCUUUUCUGGUAGAUCUAGGAUUUUUUUGUUCUUUGUUCUUGUUUUUUUUUUUUUUU
RNAcentral lists this long non-coding RNA (233 nucleotides) under Theobroma cacao (cacao). RNAcentral's name for it is "long non-coding RNA (TCAC_LNC000050)". Lineage: Eukaryota; Viridiplantae; Streptophyta; Magnoliopsida; Malvales; Malvaceae. The record is from RNAcentral.